UAGAGUAAAUAAGGCUUCUGUACUUUUUGGGAAAGUAAUUUUCUUCUAAGGAAUCUAGAGACAUCUUUCUCAGGCUUCCAUUAUGGAAGAGUAGAAAUCAGGCUUCCCGAGUUCGAAACCCAGUUCAGGUGCUCACCAGCCGCUGGCCGCUGGUUUGGGCGGCUGAAUUUGGAGCUUCAGGGUCCUGUCUGGUGGGGAGGGUGAGGGUGAGGUGACGUCGCUUCAGAGAGCUGGUCCGAAGUCACGUGACAUGAAGCACGUGCAUGCAUUCAGCGCUUCGUUGUUGUCCGUUCCUGUCUCAGUGACAGCCAUUCUCAAAAUCUGUCCUUGUACUGUCCGCUGCUUUCUCGAGACACCGUACAGACGCUGCUUUAGUGCCUGUGAUUAUCGGAAUCUCAGCAAGUUCCACUCUUGUUGAAUGUAGAUUAGAAUAUUGCUCCUGCUACUAAGUAACAGAUUGCUUAUUAAUGAUGUUGGUUGGAGGAAAAUGGUUCUCAUUAUUAAUUUGGCUGCAAGCUACCUUUCCCAACUGGUAAGUGAAUUAAAAAAAAUAUUUGAAAAGGAACUGCUGGAGGAACUGCUUUGCCCACAUGUGUAACUAAUACAAAUAAUGAGUGUAUAUGUAUAUAUUUAUUGAUUAGUUUGUUAAUUAAUCAAGACAGGGUCUCAAUAUGCAGCUCAGCCUGGCCUGGAAAUCACUAUGUAGCCCAGGAUGGCUUCAAACUCUCAGUGAUCCUCUUGCCUCAGCCUCCUGAGUGCUGGGAUUACAGGCGUGCUCCACCAUGCCCAGCAAUAAGUGUUUUAUGACUCUAAAGCAAGCUUGAAAGUUUGAUCACCACCAAGUAACAAUAGCAAUCAUGAUAUUAUGGAAAGGUUUGAAGUUGUUCUUGUUGUAUAUAAUCAAAGAAGGAAUUUUGCUGUUAUCAGUUUUCGUGUUGGAUGUGUUUUAGCAUGGAAUAGUUCAAAAAAUACAAAAGAAAUGCCAGGUAUCCUCUUGUCUUGCUUGAUUCUUGAAAUUCAAAAUAGCCUUUGUGAAAGACAAAAUAACCAGAAUUGUUAAACAAUAGAGCGGCCUCCCUGUGUUUUGACGUCUGGAGCCCAGUGUUCGGCCCACACCUGUGAUCUCAGCACUCUGGAGGGGACCCUUGGCUCCUGGGCCCUUUACUCCCUCUUCAAGCCCAGCCACAAGGGGCUGGUUCCUCUCCUCCUUGAAUUCUCUCCUCUUCUGAGUCACCUCUCUGACCCAACUGGGAAAGACUCCUCACUUUUAAAAACUCAUGUGGUUAGGUUGAGCCGACCUGGAUAAUCCAAGAUCUUCCGUCUCAAGAUCCCUGACCUGACCCUGUAGAAGUCUUUUUGCCAUGUAAGAUAACAGAUAGGUUCUGGAGCUCAAGGGGUGGGCACCUUUGGUGUAGGGUGUUGUUCAACCUUCUUUCACCUCUCAAUUUUAGCACUUCUUAUUUUACGGGAACAAGCGCAAGACAGUGGGUGUUUGGAGAAGCAUCACCUUGGUUUCCAUGCAUGGAAACAAUUUUUAUAAUAGCCCACAAGUAUAAGUAAGAGCUCUUUGAGUUGAAGGGAGGAUUCGUGGUUUGAAGGAACCCUGAUGCUUUUACACGCUUGAAGGGUCCCCUCUUUUUGGGAGCAUUUGGGGAGUCUAGAGAUAGCGGGGAUGAGGGUUCUGGCGAAUGAGGUGUGGAAUCAGUGGUAGACCUUCAGAUUCUCCUAGAGAGCUUUACAGUCUGCUCUCUAGUCUGGCCUCUGGUCUCCAGGUUGCAGAAUCAAGCUGAUUGUGUUUUAGAUUCAUCAUUCAUUGCCAAAGUUGGGGAAUGGCUUAUGACACCGAUUCUUUCCUACCCACAGGUCAUAUUGAUGAGAAGUGGUUUGCAGUAAGACAGAGCCUUGCCUUGCCUUCGUUUUUUUUCCUGCAGAAUGUUUUGUUUCGGAAAUGGUUUUGUCUGCAAGUAGACAACAAUUACACCUCUAGGAAAUCUUUGCAUCACUAACAUAUUGGUGCUGAGUUCGUUCCCUCGAAACAGUCACUGUGGCACUAAGCCAUCUCCUAGUGAUACUGGGAAGAUCUUCUCAUGUUCUCCAGGGGACAGGACGGCGACAUUCUGUGGUGGGUGCAUCAUUCAUCUCCAGGGCUGACAGAAAUUUCCCAUUGAAAAAGCAGGAACGGACUCUCGCGUGGGCCGGAGCAGCUUCUUCUGCUUUAAUAUCAUGCCCGCCGCCUUUUUCUUCUCGGAACCAAUGGUGCACGUCUGUAAUGCCAGCUCCUCUGGAGGCUGAGACAGGAGGACCACAGGUUUACAGCCAGCUUCGAUGGCUCAGUGAGACGCCUCUCAAAAUGAAAGUACAGAAAGGGCAGGGAUGAAGCUCAGCCCUUCCUGAGUUUAAUCCUCAGUGCUGCAAAGCAAAACCAAACCCCCUUUUCUCCUUCUGAGGAUGCUCUCGGAAGCCACAUCAGAUGUGCCAUGAAGAGCUGAAAGGCCGUUAUUUAAUAUCGUGGGAAAGAAAAAGCUCUCCUUGAUCAAGCUCAUUUGAGGACCACUUAGGCUAAAAUUAAAGAAGCUCCUUUAUUCAGCGAUUCCCCAUCUUUAAUAAGCAAGUGUCGAGACCCAUCUCCACAGGAGAAACCUACUGCAAGGGUUUUGAGCCACGAAACUCAGCCCUGUCUUUGCCCCUGGCCCUGUCUCCUUCAUCCUAAAACCAGAAAGCCUCCAUCAUGUCUAAUUGUCUAAAGAACACACACUGAAGAGCUCUGAAUGGGACAAGACAUUCACAGAGGAGGAGCCCCUAGCCCUGUGUGUUGGCCGGGUUGGGUUAGGUCCCAGUUCCGGGGAUUUGGGUUCAGCCUCCUCAUCUAACACAGACCCUUGAACACCAGCAGGGCAGAAGCUUUCUCAGAGAGACACCAGCCCAUGAGGGGAGGGACAGGCAGCCAGGGCAGGAGCUGAGCAGAGGGAGUCAGAUUUGUUGAAGGAUGCAGUGAUGACCCAGGCCGGGAUACCUGGAGGCUCAUCAGAUUGGUGGGAUUUUCAUGCCCAGAAAUAAGACAUUCACAGCUCCCUCAAGAGUGCCUGUGUUCUGUUUAAAGUUACAAUUAUCGGUGCUUAUAGACGGACACUUGCUAUCUAUCCUGUGUUCCCACGGUGGCCCGGUUCUACAGGAAGCUUCUACCCCCAGGUUGAUCUCAACUUGACUUCGCUCUAGUCAUCUUGGGGUAUAAACACCCCAGACAGAGCGUUCCCUUGGCAACCCUUUUCGGGGUGGGGGGUUGUGAGAAGAAAGAAGAAAUGGGCUGGGGACCGCAUCUUGAGGAAAGGAGCAGAAGAGCUGCCAAAUGGCCCUGUCCGUGGGCAACAGCAGGGGACCCACUUUCAAGGGUGCUGGCUGGGUCCGCCCAGGUCUGGUAAUUUUCCAUCGGGUCCUGAGUAUGGUAUUUUUUGGAAACUGUUCCUCAUAUUUUGAGGGUAUGGACCAUUGGCCAUGUCACCCCUGGUGUUCCCCUCUUGUUACUGUGCUGCUGCCCCUUGCACAGAGGUGAUGUGUUCGCUUGGCAAGGGACAGUGGGAAAGAGAUCCCGCUCUCUUGCUGGGAAACAGGUCCUGGGUCAAGGCCCUCAAAUCCUGGGUCUUGUGCCCUGGGGGUCCCUGUCUUAUUUCAAUCUGAUCACAGCCACAGAGCCAGGUGACUUUAAUUUGAUGUUUCCAACUGCUGGCUUAAUAAUUAAAAUAAAAUCUUUGGCUGAGAAUACAUAAUGCCAGAUUUUGUAACAAGAAAUGUUUAGGGUACAUAUUAUAUACAGUGUGUGUGGGAUUCCCAGUGAUUUCAGAAGUAAUUCCCAGUUCUUACUAAGAAUUAAUUAACACUUGCAGGGCAUGGUGGUGCAGGCCUGUAAUCCCAGCACUGUGGGAGCCUGAGGCAGGAGGAUCACAGUUUCAAGUCCAGCCUGGUCAACUUAGGUGGCUCAGUGAGACCUGGCCUCAAAAUAAAAAAUAAAGAAGGGUUGGAGAGGUAGCUCAGUGCAUUAAUAUAUGAAAACAAUCGUCUUGAUGUUGUAAUUUUGUUUCGUACGAUGGGUUAGUCAAGGGGGUAUUUUGAUGUUUCGUGGGAAAAUUCUGCCUUGACUCUCAGAAAUAGACCUUCUUGCCCCGCAUGUAAAAACUGCAGCUGUCAUGGUGUCACCAGACAGAGUCCCAGAAGGAUCCCAAAGCCGAGAUAAGGAAGCUGAACCCACACUACCUGCAGGAAAAGCUGCAGGUUUGCUGACACCUGUCAUGGAAAAACAUUUUCAGGAUGCAUCAUUAAGAGGCAUGGAAAGGAUUUAUUAGGCAGGACUUUAAAAGUGCACAGAAAAUUGGGGUGUGAGCCCACAAAAGAAAGAGGCACAGUAUUUCCCAGAACUGGGAACAUUUAUGCUUCUCUUGAAGGGGUGGAAACCCCAGGAAAAGGUAGCCGAUCCCCGGAAGGGUGUGGGUCAUUUUUACAGGAAUGAGCUCAGUGUUUUUCUCUUUUUUAAUUUAAGCAUUCUUUGAAUUCUCUCAACCUGUUCCUUUGCCUUAAGAUCAGGUUCCUGCUCUUUACUUUUUCAACUAAGCUGGUUUAUAGACUUGCUGUAUUCUGGAGGAAUUCAGGGUAUGACACGUGUGGUGGGAAAGGAGCCUGAAUUAACCAAGGAAAUGCUGACCUGGGUCACCUUGGGGGACUACAACUGAGUCCUGAAAGUUGUAGUCAUUUUUUCUUGUUUUGUUUUGUUUUUGAGACAGGGUCUCCCUACUUAGUUCAGGCUGAAUUUGAACUCAUGAUAUUGUCCAGGCUGGCUUCAAACAUGCAGUCAUCCUCCUGCCUCAGCCUCCCGAGUGGUGAGAUUACAGGUGUGUGUCACCAUACCUGGCAGCUGCAGUCUGUUUUUAGUUAGGAUUUUCCGGUUUGCUCUUCUGCCUUUCCUUCUUCUGUGUUAUCUCAAUGAGAUUAAAAAGUCCUUGUUAGCAAUAGUUCUUCAGUGUGAUUGUCAAACCCCUUUGGGCUUUAGAUUCAUUCAGCAAAUCUGUAAUGAAUCCCCAGGCAGGCUGGGCCUGUGCUAGGCACAGGAAGGAGAAUGAUAAAUAAGGCCUUUGAGGCCUAACAUUGUGCAACUAUGGGUAUGAAUUACCUCUGCUUUUCAGACAGGGAACCCAGAUCACUUAAGGAAAAAAUAAUGGACACAUUUAAUGAAAAUUUAUAGACCCAGUGAGAAAAUGUAUGGUGGAAACUUUAACUUUAAAAAUCUAUGUCACAAGUCAGGUGUGGUGGUACACACCUGUGAUCCCAGGACUUGAGAGGCUGAGGCAGAGGAUUGCUGUGAGUUCGAGGCCAGCCUGGGCUACAUAGAGAGACCUUGUCUCAAAAAACAAACAAAUGAACAACAACAAAAAUCGGUCAUAGUUUAAAAUGUUACAUUAGAUGGGCUCUCAUAUUAUUAAAAUUACAUUAAAAGAAAGUAAUAUAUUAAGAAGAAGUACAUUUAUAUGAGUGGCAAUUACUCCCAGUGUAUAUCAACUUGAAGUAGUAAAUUAAAUACUUCAAGAUUGGGAACUUGGCAAUCCUAUGAACACAUAAAUAAAGCUGGUCCCAGAGAGGUUAGAGAACUUAUCCAAAGUCAUAGAGUUUGUAAGAGGAAAGAUAUCUUGGACUUUACUCCACAGUAACUUUGUUCCAAACUCAGCCUGUCUCUAUUGAGAGAGGAGGCCACCCCUCCAUGUGGAAUGAUGGUUAACCAGGUAACUGUGCUCUUUGUGGAAUGCACUUGAGCAGCCAUGACAACUUCUGCAAUCUGUCGCCAAAGGGUUGUAAAGGACUCAGAAAGUUCUGCCAGAAUUCUUUGCUUUACACCCUCUCCAUUGCUCUGCUUUGUGUAAAUCCUGCUUGCUAUGUUCCCAGGGAAACUCCAAAGGAAUUAAGCUUUUUAGAUGUAAAAAGAGGGGCUGGGGAUUUAGCUCAGUGGUUUCGCUGCCUUCUGCGCAAGCGCAAAUGCAAGGACCCGAGUUCGUCCGCCCCCGGUACCAAAAACAAAACAAAAUAGAUGUAAAAAGAGGUACAUAGGGAAGUGAAAACUUCUAUUCGGGGAUCUUGUGACUGACAGGAAUCACUCGCUGAGCUGCCAGCAUUAAAAGCCUCUUUUUGCUCCUAUCUUCGUGUUAAGAGUGGUUUGUCCAGGGUCCUCGAAGUUUCCUGCUUCACUAUGGUUACCUUUUAUUGUUGUUUUGAGACAGGGUCUCACUAUGUAGUUCAGCCUGGCCUUGAACUCAUCAUAUAGCCCAGGCUGGCCUUGAACUUGCGAUCCUCCUGCCUCAGCUUCCUGAAUGCUGGGAUAUCAUAGGUAUGCACGACCAUGCCCAGAUUGUCUUCUAUAAAUAAUCAAGUAAUCCAAGAUGGCCCAAGCAGAAGUGCUUCUAGGGGCUCUCAGAAGAGAAAAUGUACUCCACAGUUGAAGAUCAGCUUUACUUUGCAAAAUUGCCCUUUGUCCAGUCAUCCUUUGUUUUCCCCUUUACCUGGUGCUGUAAUUUGUAAAAGAAAACCUACUUUAAAUGGCUGAGAUAUUAAUAACCAACUAUUCCAAGGAAAGGGGGACAAAUUAUAUAAUUAUAAUCUUUCUUUAGUUUUUCAGAACCAGUAAUCCAUGGUAGUCUUCAGCAGCAUCAUGUGUAGAACAAGGACUUUCUCAUUCUGCUCUUUUUUUUUUUUGGUACUGGGGAUCAAACUCAGGACCUUGCAUUUGCCAGGCAUCCACCUCACUGAGCUACAUCCCCAGCCCUCAUUCUGUUCUUUAAUUAAAAGAAGAAUAAUGUUUAACUUGCAGGAGAAUGAUGUGUUUACCUAAAAGGAUUAUUAGCAUGCACCCAGGAGACAAAAGUCAUUUGUAAUUGCAUUAAUGUCCAGACUAUGGAGAAAGGAAAACAUUCACUGAAUGACAAAGAUGGCCCACAGCUGCCAAGUGUGACUCAGCACCUCUUCUGUCUGAUACCCCACUUCUCUCCAUCCUCAGACCCUUUCAUACACCUGAUUUUCUGGGGAUGGUAUCAGGACGGGAGUCUGGACAUUGUACCAGCAGCUAAAUCAUCAUAUUCAAUGGACUUCCUUCCUACCCACUCUCACCUCCAGUACUGGCUGUCAGGCGGAGAACUGACCCUUGGUGGGUAACAGGAUUUAGCCACUUCCGGAGGUAGAAGGAAGGAUGCUAGCAACUGAGGACUCAGGAUGGAGGAGUGAGGUUCCCAGGGGACCCGGUGACACCUUCCAAGCAGAGGAAACACAGGCAAAGGCAGAUGAUGUGAAGCAGCUUUGUGUACAGUGGACCUUGACUUACAAACUCAAUCCAUUCUCGAAGGCUGGCUGUAACUCAAGUUGGUCAAUGAAGGCUCAGGCUCCUUUACAUAGCUUUUGAAGUCUCUCUCCUGUGUACAGGCAGAUCUCAGUGUCCUUAGAGAGACACUGGCCCAGGAUUUCUCAGUAAACCCCACACAGGAAAGGAUGCUGUCAGGUUCCUUCCAGACUCUUUAAAGGUUAAUCUGACACCAUCUGGAAGCACAAGCGGCCAGCGUUUGGGUUGUAACUCAAGGCUUUGUUUGUAAGUUAAAACUAAAUUUCGGUUCUAACCCAAGUCGUUCCUAUGUCAGGCUAGUUGUAACUUGAGGGGACAAUGUAUUAAUGUUCUAUGAUUUCUAGGUUCAUUAGUUCUCAAUUGGCAUAGCUGGAGCCCAGGGUGUGUAUCUGGACUGGUCCCAAUAUUCUAAUGAAAAUGGAAAAGGGGCUGGGGAUUUAGCUCAGUGGUUCCACCGCCUGCCUGCCAAGUGUCAGGUCCCAAGUUUGAUCCCUGGUACCAAAAAAAAAAAAAACAACAGGGAAAAUAUCAUCUCAAAGUAGGAUUUUAUGUGCAAAGAAUGGAAUGUGAAGCUGGUAAUCUCCCCCCUGGCUCCUUACAAAUCACAUUUUGAAGUUCUGCUGGUAGACUUCUACUUUACUUAUUUGCCAGGGUUUUAGAUUUACCUAGGAAGGUAAUACAUUUUUGUGUGUUUCACUUUUAAUACUGGAUUAUAUCUGUAAUGUUGUGAAAUGUUAGUAACAUUUUGACACAGUUUUCCUUUGUGUUAGACAUGGUUCUUUUAAAUUAAAUUUACUUUUUGACUUCGUAAUACAUGUACACAUUAGGACAUGGGACAGGUGAACAUAAAAAGUAGGUCCUGCUGGCUACACCUUUUCUCAAUUGUGGCCAUUAUUAAUAGAUUCUGGGUGUCCUCUAGAGCUGUUGCUAUUUUAUGCAUUGUAAUUGUGUAUAUUGUUUUAUUACUUUAAGCCCAAAUUUUAACACAAUAUCCUGUGUAACACAGGGCUAGUGCUCUCUUAAGUUUCUUUCUCUCUUUCUUCUGUGUCAAGUAAAUUACUGCUUUUUCUAGCUACCUGGGCACCCACUUUGGCGACCACGUCAUCUGGCUCCCUGGAAGCUUGUGUGACCCAGGGCUGACUUUGAGACUGAGCCCUGGGCACCUUCUGUUCCCCACCCCUCUCUCUCCUUCCUUCCCUUCCACUUUAACAGGAAUGGAGGAAAAUGAGUCCACGUUGCCAAGGUGGCUCAGCUGCAGGAAAAUAGGAGCGUAGGGGUCUGACACUGUGUCUACUAUGAUAGCUCUCGGUUCCUUAUUUCUGGGCUGUUAUAUGAGAAAAAAUAAAAUUUCUUGUUUACCCGGU
This is a non-coding RNA of Heterocephalus glaber (naked mole-rat), 8730 nucleotides long. NCBI's taxonomy places the organism in Eukaryota, Metazoa, Chordata, Mammalia, Rodentia, Bathyergidae. The record is from RefSeq and is a predicted model, not a curated record.